UAUGUGAUCGUCUCUCGCAUAUCAAUAAGCGGAGGAAAAGAAACUAACAAGGAUUCCCUUAGUAACGGCGAGUGAAGCGGGAAGAGCUCAAAUUUGAAAUCUUCAAGGUUUUACCUUGACGAAUUGUAGUUUAAAGAAGUGUUUUCUGUUGAAGUUUUGGUAAAAGUUCUUUGGAAUAGGACAUCAUAGAGGGUGAGAAUCCCGUAUUUGACCAUUAUUUUCAGCUGUGUGAUACACUUUCAAAGAGUCGGAUUGUUUGGGAAUGCAGUCCAAAAUGGGUGGUAAAUUUCAUCUAAAGCUAAAUAUUGGCGAGAGACCGAUAGCGAACAAGUACCGUGAGGGAAAGAUGAAAAGAACUUUGAAAGGAGAGUUAAACAGUACGUGAAAUUGUCAAAAGGGAAGCGUUUGACACCAGUGUUGUUUUCUCGAAAAUCAAUUAAAAAGAGUUAGAUUUUGUUGUGUAUUGACCUUAACAGCUUGCAUUUCAAUUUUCUUGCUUUUUUUAAUGCACUUUUCGUUUAACAAGUCAACAUCAGUUUCUUUUGUUGUAAAAAGGUCAUUGGAAGGUGGCUUUCUUUUCGGAGAAAGUGUUUAUAGCCUUUGACUCCUGCAAUCGGAGAGACUGAGGUCUGCAGCGUAGAUCCUUCGGGGUUAGAUACAUUUGUGCUAAGUUAUAGCUUUUUAUAGACAACUUGUUGACUAUGAUUAGUCUUGUAGCUUACUCGCUUAUGCUAUUUUACCUACGCUUAGGAUGUUGAAGAUGUAGCACAUCAU
This 774-nucleotide ribosomal RNA is filed under the name uncultured Neocallimastigales. Its description in RNAcentral is "partial large subunit ribosomal RNA". It matches the Rfam family "Eukaryotic large subunit ribosomal RNA", at positions 24 to 620 of the family's 3401-position model. Lineage: Eukaryota; Fungi; Neocallimastigomycota; Neocallimastigomycetes; Neocallimastigales. The record is from RNAcentral.